UCAGACGAUGCGUCAUGCAUAUCAAUAAGCGGAGGAAAAGAAACUAACUAGGAUUCCCUCAGUAACGGCGAGUGAAGCGGGAAGAGCUCAAAUUUGAAAUCUUCAAGGUUCUACCUUGACGAAUUGUAGUUUAAAGAAGUGUUUUCUGUUGGAGUUUUGGUAAAAGUUCUUUGGAAUAGGACAUCAUAGAGGGUGAGAAUCCCGUAUUUGACCAUUAUUUCCAGCUUUGUGAUACACUUUCAAAGAGUCGGAUUGUUUGGGAAUGCAGUCCAAAAUGGGUGGUAAAUUUCAUCUAAAGCUAAAUAUUGGCGAGAGACCGAUAGCGAACAAGUACCGUGAGGGAAAGAUGAAAAGAACUUUGAAAAGAGAGUUAAACAGUACGUGAAAUUGUCAAAAGGGAAGCGUUUGACACCAGUGUUGUUUAAUUGAAAAUCAAUUAACUAAUUUUUGAUUUUAAGUAGUAUUUGACUUUAUCAGCUUGCUAUUUAUUUUUCGAAAAUUAUUUAAUGCACUUUUCAGUUAACAAGUCAACAUCAAUUUCUUUUGUUGUAAAAGGGUCAUUGGAAGGUGGCUUUCUUUUCGGAGAAAGUGUUUAUAGCCUUUGGCCUCUGCAAUCGGAGAGAUUGAGGUCUGCAGCGUAGAUCCUUCGGGGUUAGAUACAUUUGUGCUAAGUUAUAGUAUUUUCAUAGACAACUUGUUGACUAUGAAUUAGUCAUUGUAGCUUACUCGCUUAUGCUAUUUUACCUACGCUUAGGAUGUUGAUCUACAGAGCGAGAGU
This 778-nucleotide ribosomal RNA is filed under the name uncultured Neocallimastigales. Its description in RNAcentral is "partial large subunit ribosomal RNA". It matches the Rfam family "Eukaryotic large subunit ribosomal RNA", at positions 18 to 631 of the family's 3401-position model. Lineage: Eukaryota; Fungi; Neocallimastigomycota; Neocallimastigomycetes; Neocallimastigales. The record is from RNAcentral.